GGUUGGUUUUUGGAGCAUUGAAAAAGUCGUCAAAGUUGACAAAAUGGCAAGGGUUGUUGAAGCGAAAGACCUUCGGUGGCAUGCUGCAGAAUGUUCAAUCCAUUCGUGGAAAUAAUGGUGGUCGGACCUCAUCUUUCGUCGAGACGUCGCCGUUAUCAAACUAGAUCCAAGAGAAAUAACUGGAAUCCAUCUUUUAAUGAAACAUUUUACUAGCGGCGACGAAGCUCCCGAGAGCCCGGGUGGACGACGUGAAAAUCUCUCGCUCGACGGCGAGAACUCGCCUGUGGAAUUCUCGACCGGUCCUAUUAAACACUGCCCGAGAUGACUGCCCGAGAUGA
Molecule: long non-coding RNA, 338 nt
Organism: Dendronephthya gigantea
Lineage: Eukaryota; Metazoa; Cnidaria; Anthozoa; Malacalcyonacea; Nephtheidae
Exons: 5
Source: RefSeq, a predicted model, not a curated record